AUGGCGACUCUUUCCGACGCCCACUCCGCCACGGGUGGCGGCGGCGACGCCGCGGCUGCACGAUCGGAUCUGGGUGAUUUCCUCGAACAGUUGGAUCUGAACGAUGAUGACUUUGCAGAUGUGGAGAUCGAUGAGGAUGAUCAUGCGAUUCAAGAAAGCGUACGCUGGCUUGCCCUAGCCAGGGUCCAUACAAGCAGGAACUUCAGCCCGUCUGCCUUCUACAAAGAUAUGAGGGCCGCAUGGAAUCCUGUGCAGGACGUGAGAUUUCGGCCAGUUGGCCCUAAUCGUUUUGUCGCCCAAGCAUCUUGCUUGGGGGAUUGGGAACGCAUAAUGAAGCAAGGACAUUGGCUAUUCUGCAAUAUGGCUGUGCUCUUGUGCCCGUAUGACGGCUUCAGUAAGGCGGAGGAGGUGGAAUUCUUUCAUAUUCCAAUU
RNAcentral lists this ribosomal RNA (432 nucleotides) under Triticum aestivum (bread wheat). RNAcentral describes it as "partial small subunit ribosomal RNA". Lineage: Eukaryota; Viridiplantae; Streptophyta; Magnoliopsida; Poales; Poaceae. The record is from RNAcentral.